RNAcentral lists this ribosomal RNA (412 nucleotides) under uncultured bacterium. Its description in RNAcentral is "partial 16S ribosomal RNA". It matches the Rfam family "Bacterial small subunit ribosomal RNA", at positions 355 to 758 of the family's 1533-position model. The record is from RNAcentral.
UGGGGAAUAUUGCACAAUGGGCGCAAGCCUGAUGCAGCCAUGCCGCGUGUGUGAAGAAGGCCUUCGGGUUGUAAAGCACUUUCAGCGAGGAGGAAGGUGGUGAGCUUAAUACGCUCAUCAAUUGACGUUACUCGCAGAAGAAGCACCGGCUAACUCCGUGCCAGCAGCCGCGGUAAUACGGAGGGUGCAAGCGUUAAUCGGAAUUACUGGGCGUAAAGCGCACGCAGGCGGUUUGUUAAGUCAGAUGUGAAAUCCCCCGGGCUCAACCUGGGAACUGCAUUUGAAACUGGCAAGCUAGAGUCUCGUAGAGGGGGGUAGAAUUCCAGGUGUAGCGGUGAAAUGCGUAGAGAUCUGGAGGAAUACCGGUGGCGAAGGCGGCCCCCUGGACGAAGACUGACGCUCAGGUGCGAAG